AUUGAACGCUGGCGGCAGGCCUAACACAUGCAAGUCGAACGAGUGGCGGACGGGUGAGUAAUGUCUGGGCAACUGCCCGAUGGAGGGGGAUAACUACUGGAAACGGUAGCUAAUACCGCAUACUAUCGGAUGAGCCCAGAUUGGAUUAGCUAGUAGGUGGGGGAAAGGCUCACCUAGGCGACGAUCCCUAGCUGGUCUGAGAGGAUGACCAGCAACACGGGGACUGAGACAGGGCCAGGACUCCUACGGAAGGCAGCAGUGGGGAAUAUUGCACAAUGGGGGAAAGCCUGAUGCAGCCCUGCCGCGUGUAUGAAGAAGGCCUUAGGGUUGUAAAGUACUUUCAGCGGGGAGGCGUUACCCGAAGAAGAAGCACCGGCUAACUACGUGCCAGCAGCCGCGGUAAUUC
This 406-nucleotide ribosomal RNA is filed under the name uncultured bacterium. RNAcentral describes it as "partial 16S ribosomal RNA". It matches the Rfam family "Bacterial small subunit ribosomal RNA", at positions 29 to 526 of the family's 1533-position model. The record is from RNAcentral.